AAGUCACCCCCAAAAGAAGAGGAGGGUCUCCUCGGGGCUCGUUUGGGGCAGCUAGGCGCGGGCGGUGGCUGCACAGCCCGGCGGAGAGUUCCAGAUUUUGAAAAGUUUGGGUACAAGCGAUCCCAGUGAACUCUACUCUCAAAAUGAUUAAGAUGGUUAUGAUACUUCAAAUUUAAAUUAAAUUACUUUUGGCUGCUUGGAAAUGCCAACAUCACGACUAAUGAAAGCCUCUAAGAACAUGUGCUGUCUCCAGUAAAGGGUAGCCUAGCAGGACCAAAGCUGUAGAUAAUAGCUAUUCUAUAAACAAAACAUCACAGAACCAACUGUGAUUCCCACCUCAUCAGAAGUCAGGCGGGAAACUGACACCCACUCUGAGCUGUAACAAGGUGACCUCUCCCCCCCUCACCCCCCCCCAAGUAGCAUCUGAGAAGACCCAGUGGGUAGUAUGACUGCCAAUCCUUCUGUGGAAUAAGGAGCAACCAAGUCAACAGAGAAGCUAGGCUUUAAACCUGUGUUAGUCAGGUUCUCCAGAGAAACAAAACCAAUAGUGGUAUAGAUGUGGAUAUGUAUUUAACAGAGGGAUGGCUUGCAAAGCACAGACUGAAAAGACUUUUUCUGCAAUCUGAAAAUCCAGAGAACUCAAAAGCUUGAUUCAUCCCAGGAAGCCAGAAGUCACAGAACAAAGGAGGUUGAGGUCAAAGGCUUUGGAUCCUGAAAGGACUAAUAUUGCCAGACCAGAAUGAAAAGUUACAGAGAGAGAGGGAGAGAGAGAGAGAGAGAGAGAGAGGGAGAGAGAGAGAGAGAGAGAGAGAGAGAGAGAGAGAGAGGAUAGAUACAUACAUACAUACAUACAUACAUACAUACAUACAUAUAUACAUACAUACAUACAUAGACAAAUAGAUAGACAGAUAGAUAGACAGACAGACAGACAGACAGGUUCAGCAAUUGUAUCUUAGUUUUGUCUCAUGUUGCUGCAAUAAAGUGCCCAGACAAAAGCAGUAGGAUAGGGGAGAAAGGAUGCAUUAAAAUCUCCAUUCCUGGUCACAGACCAUCGUUGGAGGGAAGUGAAGGUGGCAGGAACUUUGAGCAGCUGAUCACACCACAUCCACAAUCAAGAGCAGAGAUCAAUGAAUGAACGCAUGCCUGCUAGUGUUCAGCUUGCACUCUGUUUCAUGUAGUCCACAGUUCAGCCCACGAAAUGGUGUUAUUAACAUUCAGGGUGGCCAUUCUUACCUCAGUUAACCCAAUUAAGAAAAUUCCCGUUAGACAUACUCAUAGGUGAACUCAGUCUCGAACAGAGCCUUCCUUCUCGGGUGAUUCUAGAUUGUGUUGGGUUGAUAGCACUACACGUGACAAACUGGAAAAGAUUGUUUAUCUUGCUUCAGAAGGAAGAGGCAGAAGGCUAGGCUCCUCUUCCUUCUUGUGCCUUGGAUCUCCAGCUAAUUAAAUGGUGCUCAGCCAUACUGAAUUUGUUCCAUCAGUCCAAUGAUUGCCACACUAGUAAUCUCUUCAACAAACCGAAGUCGUGCUCAGCUAGUUUUCUAGGUAUGCCUCAAUCCAUUCACACUGACAUCAUCCAGAAGAAUCAUCAUGCAUUCAGUCUCGGUCAUGAAAUGCACCUAUCUGAUUAGAUGACAUUUGAGACACUUCAGUAGAGGAUUCUGACUAUGUGGAUAACUCAAUCAUGGUGCCAUCCUGGGGAGCAAUAGUAAAGAGCUCCCAUCUUUCCCAGCUAGGAGGAUAUUGAAAAGCUACAAAGAGAAUCCUGAGUUCUGCUCUUGUUUGGCAAUGAUAGUGUGUUCCUCUUCUUGAAGAAUGUCAACAGAAGCUGAGUAUGGAAAUUGAACUUCUACCACUACCAAACAAUAAUGAGUGAGUUCCCUCUCAACUGCCCAUCAGUCUGGUGCCAGGAAGGCUGAUUAAAAUAGACUGUUUAAAUAUAGAAAAAUCUCAUAACUUAAAGGCCAGAGGGUCCAAGACUCAACUGAGAAUCCCUCACUUUGCAAAGCUCAGGAAAUCGUAAACACAAAUAAGAAAUGAAAAUGCAUAUAUAUCAACAUCAAGAUGGCAUGAAUACCAGAUUUGCCUGACAGUGUUUUCAAGGCAGACAUGAUAAAAAUGCUUCAAUAAUUGUCAUCUGCAUCUGGAAGCACAUCGCUUACUGGGUCUCCACUCCACCCUGUUGACAGCACUAUUUGCUUCAUUCUAUACAAGGAUGUCCCCUGCACAAAGCCAGGUGCCCUGAUUCUUAGAAUGUAAUGGUGGCCCACGCUAUUCCUUUCAGCUUCCUACCCGAAAACAGAUACUGAACUUCCUGUCUGAGCUAGGAUUUUAUUGCUGUGAUAAACACUACGAACGAUCAAAAGUAACUUGGAGAGAAAAGAGUUUAUGGCAUCCUACAGCCUGCAGUCCGUUAUCCUGGAAAGUCAGGCCAAGAAUUCCAGGCAGGAACCUGGAGGCAAGAACUAAGUGGAAGCCAUAGAAGAAUGCUGCUUCCAGGCUUGUUCCCCAUGCCUUGCUCAGACUUGCUUCUUUCUCCUACAACCUGGAAGUCUGUGAGGGUGUGUUACAUAGUAAAUUUUAAUCAAAGCAACACAAACAAAUGGUCACAAAAUAAAUCAUGCAAAAAUAUUUCCUUAAGAAACAACUGAACCCAGCUCCAGGGUGAUUGGACCCAACGUCAUUCCCCAAAGGCAUCUUUCUUUUAUUGUGUAAAUGAGAGAAAAAUGAUGUACUGUGAAAUGUACCUAUUUUAAGUGUAUUGUUGUGUGGACCCUGAUGAUGGCUCAGAGUUCUGUCACUCUCUCUGUUAAAAUAGAGGGUAUUUGCAUCACUGAGAGAAGAUCGCUCAUGUGAUGACUCAGCUAAUUUUCUCACCCCUAUCCAGGAGGCACAUUAUGUAUGCAGUGUUGCAUGCUAGGCUAGCUUGCCUCUGGUAGAACAUAUAAACAUAUGAAUUUAAUCAUACUGUAUGUUCUCUUAGUUUCUUUCAUAUAGCAUGGAACUGUAACUAUUUCUUAUUGUAGUCAUUUUCAGUUUGUUCCUCAUACAGUAUUUAGUUUCCUGGUUUGCUUAGUAAUUAUACUGUGGGAACAUUUCAAUUAGUGCCUAUUCAUAUUAUAAUUUCUCUAUUUGCUUGAUGAUAGACAUGUAAGCUUUUUCUCUGUUUAGCCCUACUGGGAUUUUGAUUGAAAUUUCAAUGAAUUUGUAGAUAGUUUAGAAGAGUAGCUGUCUCAGAAGUACUUGAUGUUUGAAUCAGUGAGACACUGAACAACUCUGAUUAAGUCUUUGUUAAUUUCUUUUAGUAAUAUAAUCGUUAAUAGUUUGUUAAGUUUAUCGUAUGUAUUUUGAGAUCCUUUGAUGCUGUGGAGAACAGUAUUAUUAUUUCUAUUUUCCUUCUCUUGUUCAAUGUGGUGGUCAGUUUUAUGUGUUCACUAGGUAUUUUUAAAAAUUAUUAUUAUUAUUAUUAUCAUGAUGGUGAUGAUGAUGGUGAUCCUAUGUCUGCAUAGGAUGAGAGAAGAAGACUGUUGGCUUGCCUGGAGUUGGAGUUACAGGCAGUGGUGAGCUACCUGAUAUGGGAACUGGGAAUCAAACCACGGUCCUCUGUCAGAACAAUAUGUCCUCUUAACCACUGAGCCACCUUUUGAGCCUGUCAUUGAGUGAUUUUAUAUUAAAUUGACCAUGGGUCUAGGUGUUGUGACGGAGACACUUUGUAGAUGUAGCAUCUACAAUAAUAACUUUCAGUAAGGAGAUUCCCUUCGCUAAUCUUGGUGGGCUUGGUCCAAUCAGUUAAAAGACCUUAAGAGUAGAAGUGAAGUUUCCCAAGGGAGGACAUACCCUACCCGACUCCUAAGUUUUCAUUCCCUGGAGUCUCUAGUUUGUCUUCCUGAUGGCCUACCCCAUGGAUUUAGUACUUACCUAUCCAGCCCAGACUACCUACCGUGUGAGUCUCAUCCUCAUUAUAAAGUUAUUCACAUCAUCUUCCAGACUCACACCCAUCCUAUAUGGAUCUGAUUUCUCUCCAACAUCUAUGCAUCUACCUCACUCCAACAAGUAAGUGAAUGUUAAAGUAAACUAGCAAACAAAAAAUAUGGUGAACACUAAAGACUUCGGCCAUGUCUAUAUUGUUCCUUUCAAGAGUAAUGAGAAAUGAACUUUACAGAAACUUAAUAAAAUACUUUAAUGGGUUUGCUUACAUUUCCCUGCAUAGUACAUGAGGAUCCAUUCUGCAUUGGGACAAACAGAUCUUAUGUGCAAAGGGUGAGUACACCAGAGAAUCUUAAAUGUACCGUUGCAGUUAGCUUCAAAAAUCAACUCCAUACAUUGCGUCAUAUAGUUUAAAGAUGUGAAAUUUGAACCUUCGUGACUCCUGUAACUAUUUCAAGGGGAUAAGGGACUGGAACCAAAAAUAAAAUAAGAUGGAAUUUGUCAAA
Molecule: long non-coding RNA, 4433 nt
Organism: Mus musculus (house mouse)
Lineage: Eukaryota; Metazoa; Chordata; Mammalia; Rodentia; Muridae
Product: predicted gene, 41741
Exons: 4
Source: RefSeq, a predicted model, not a curated record